AGUGAACGCUGGCGGUAGGCCUAACACAUGCAAGUCGAACGGCAGCACAGUAAGAGCUUGCUCUUACGGGUGGCGAGUGGCGGACGGGUGAGGAAUACAUCGGAAUCUACUUUUUCGUGGGGGAUGACGUAGGGAAACUUACGCUAAUACCGCAUACGACCUACGGUUGAAAGCAGGGGAUCUUCGGACCUUGCGCGAUUGAAUGAGCCGAUGUCGGAUUAGCUAGUUGGCGGGGUAAAGGCCCACCAAGGCGACGAUCCGUAGCUGGUCUGAGAGGAUGAUCAGCCACACUGGAACUGAGACACGGUCCAGACUCCUACGGGAGGCAGCAGUGGGGAAUAUUGGACAAUGGGCGCAAGCCUGAUCCAGCCAUACCGCGUGGGUGAAGAAGGCCUUCGGGUUGUAAGGCCCUUUUGUUGGGAAAGAAAAGCAGCAGGUUAAUACCCCGCUGUUCUGACGGUACCCAAAGAAUAAGCACCGGCUAACUUCGUG
This 492-nucleotide ribosomal RNA is filed under the name uncultured bacterium. Its description in RNAcentral is "partial 16S ribosomal RNA". It matches the Rfam family "Bacterial small subunit ribosomal RNA", at positions 29 to 507 of the family's 1533-position model. The record is from RNAcentral.